UUGACCUCAAAUCAGGUAGGACUACCCGCUGAACUUAAGCAUAUCAAUAAGCGGAGGAAAAGAAACUAACAAGGAUUCCCCUAGUAACUGCGAGUGAAGAGGGAAAAGCUCAAAUUUAAAAUCUGGCAGCUUCGCUGUCCGAGUUGUA
This 148-nucleotide ribosomal RNA is filed under the name Armillaria nabsnona. Its description in RNAcentral is "partial large subunit ribosomal RNA". It matches the Rfam family "Eukaryotic large subunit ribosomal RNA", at positions 1 to 147 of the family's 3401-position model. Lineage: Eukaryota; Fungi; Basidiomycota; Agaricomycetes; Agaricales; Physalacriaceae. The record is from RNAcentral.